Molecule: long non-coding RNA, 441 nt
Filed under: Brassica napus (rape)
Lineage: Eukaryota; Viridiplantae; Streptophyta; Magnoliopsida; Brassicales; Brassicaceae
Description: long non-coding RNA (BNAP_LNC005617)
Source: RNAcentral
AGGCGUCCAUAAAAGUAGAUUCUGGUAUAAGUUGGUUAAUACAAUCAUUAGGAUGAACUUGUUUGGGGUUUUCAACUUUGUUUGGCAUCAUUCUAGCUUAAUUGGCAUCAAUAUUUCAAAUUUAGAUGUAUUUCUUAACAAUUAAGCAACAUUUAGCUAUUACUUUUAGCAGUAAUAACAAUAAUAAUAAAAUGUUCUUAAAUUUUAAUUAUACAUGUUUUUGUAGUUAUUAGUGUAUAUAUAUGCUUUAUAUGUAAGAAAUCUGUAUAUUCCACAUAUUCUCAAAAAAAAAAAAAUUUGUCAGCUACCCAUUUAUCCAAAUAUUAUUUUGGGAUUCAAUUAUUAUAAUCUGGUGUCUCUCUUCUUUUCCUUUUUUUUCUAGUUUUUAAGUCUACGAGGUUUUUACGACGAUUUCUGUUACGAGGUGUUUACGACGAAAUC